Molecule: long non-coding RNA, 2234 nt
Organism: Ctenopharyngodon idella (grass carp)
Lineage: Eukaryota; Metazoa; Chordata; Actinopteri; Cypriniformes; Xenocyprididae
Exons: 3
Source: RefSeq, a predicted model, not a curated record
UUGAUCACAUUUACAAAUGUGUGAUUUUAACUCUGCUAAUUCUAUUUACCUGCUUUAUAAUGAAAUCUUUAGCAAGAUUUAGAUGGUCAUUCUCUAUUGGAUGACCUUUGACCUGUUCUACAGUAUCAUGAUGAUAUCAAAUCUGCAGCACAGGUAUUAAAUGCUCUCAGCAUCAAAGUCUGAAUGAAACUGAUCAUUAAAACAGUGUUUAGAGGGAGAAAAUCCACCCAAAAUAACAUGAAGUAAAUCAGGAGUGUCUGUUUCUGAAAAUGAUCAAUAGAAAUUUAUUAGCAAAGAUACUAAAUGACAAAACAGUGUUUCUGCUGUCUUCAGGUAAAUGAUCUGGAGUGUGUUUGCAUAUUGAUCAGAUGCUUCAGUGCUCUGAGAGUGUUUAUAGUGCUGUGAGUUUAACACUUCAUCACUGACACACACAACAAUCUUCAUCAACAUGACCUUCAUCAUCAUCUUCAUCUGGACUCUCACAGCGUUUGCUCAAGAGUGUAGAGGACAGAUCACCGUCACUCAGAGUCCCUCAAUGACAGCAGCUCAACCAGGACAAACUGUGAACAUCAACUGUAAAACCACAGAUGUGCUUAAUGGAGAUCAUUUAUUCUGGUACUUACAGAAGCCUGGAGAAGCUCCUAAUAUCCUGAUUCGUCAUGUAAAAAAUCGCUACUACGCUGCAACUCCAUCUAGAUUCAGUGGCAGUGGAUCUAACAAUGAUUUCACUCUGACUAUCAGUGGAGUCCAGACUGAAGAUGCUGGACAUUAUUACUGUCUUGGUAGCCACUGGAUCAAUGGCUGGAUGUUCACACAGUGAUAAAGAGUCGUACAAAAACCUCCGUCAGUCAGAGUCACAGUGACUGAACUGAUACUGCAGCUGCUCACACACUUUCACACACACUCAAUAGUGCAGAAACAACUCAAUAUGAACUUACUGAACAUCACUUUUGUUGAGCUGAAUCAGUUUUUAAACUUUUUGAUUGUGAUUUUUUAGAAGUCAUAUGUCUCCUGUUAUCCUAUUACAUCCUUUAUGUAGAAAUUCAGUCACUUUUGAUCUUCACUUCAGUUGAUAUUUUUCCAUUCUUCACCACAUUUUUUGAUUUUCUGCAUUUAUGAUUUAUCCUUAUUCUUCUUUCUAAACUGAAUCAUCAUCAUCAUCAUAAACAUGUUAUGCUUGAUCAGUUUAAUAAGUCUAUUGAUUUAUUAAGUUCAUCCCUCAUAAAGCAGAUAUUAUCAGCAUCAUAUAAAGAUAUUCCUCAAUUUCAGAGCAGAUCAUAAUGAAUAUAAUUGAUAUAAAUAUCUAUGAAGAAUUAACAAUGAUAUAAAAAUUAAUUUUAAAAUUAAAGACCAGAUUACCCAACAGCUGUUGUCCACCAUCAAAAACAUGUCACCAUAUAUUUUACGUUUAUUUUAUGAAGAUUCAUAAAAGUGAAGAUGUUUCUAUCAUGUGUGACGCGACUCACAAUCAAACUCAGUUGAUUCAGUGAUUGACAGAGACUCGUGUGUGAUGAUCCUCAUGUCUGUUCAGAAACUGCAGGAACACACAUGGAUUUGGUAUAAAUUUGGGGAUUAACAGUGACGUUUCAAUCCAACUACAGUAAAAAAUAUUCUCAGAGUCUCACAGCAGAUAUUCAGAUUAAUAUAAUAAAGUUGAUCUUGUAGAUGUUUUCAGAAUUGAAUGAUGCAAUUUUAUGAAAAAGACUGAUGAUUUACUAGAUGUUCACUUCAGUAACUGUAUUUUGUGUCUGUUAAUGAGUGACUGUCUUCAGGUAAAUGAUCUGGAGUGUGUUUGCAUAUUGAUCAGAUGCUUCAGUGCUCUGAGAGUGUUUAUAGUGCUGUGAGUUUAACACUUCAUCACUGACACACACAACAAUCUUCAUCAACAUGACCUUCAUCAUCAUCUUCAUCUGGACUCUCACAGCGUUUGCUCAAGAGUGUAGAGGACAGAUCACCGUCACUCAGAGUCCCUCAAUGACAGCAGCUCAACCAGGACAAACUGUGAACAUCAACUGUAAAACCAGCAGAGAUGUGUACAGAUGGAGUAGUUAUGAUCAUUUAUCUUGGUACUUACAGAAACCUGGAGAAGCUCCUAAACUCCUGAUUUAUUGGGCCAACUGCCUCCAGUCAGGAACUCCAUCUAGAUUCAGUGGCAGUGGAUCUAACAGUGAUUUCACUCUGACCAUCAGUGGAGUCCAGACUGAAGAUGCUGGACAUUAUUACUGUCAGAGUUU